UUGAACGCUGGCGGCAUGCUUUACACAUGCAAGUCGAACGGCAGCGGGGGCUUCGGCCCGCCGGCGAGUGGCGAACGGGUGAGUAAUGCAUCGGAACGUACCCAGUCGUGGGGGAUAACUACGCGAAAGCGUGGCUAAUACCGCAUACGAUCUGAGGAUGAAAGCGGGGGAUCGCAAGACCUCGCGCGAUAGGAGCGGCCGAUAUCGGAUUAGCUUGUUGGUGAGGUAAAGGCUCACCAAGGCGACGAUCCGUAGCUGGUCUGAGAGGACGACCAGCCACACUGGAACUGAGACACGGUCCAGACUCCUACGGGAGGCAGCAGUGGGGAAUUUUGGACAAUGGGGGCAACCCUGAUCCAGCCAUUCCGCGUGAGUGAAGAAGGCCUUCGGGUUGUAAAGCUCUUUCAGCCGGAACGAAACGGUACGCUCUAACAUAGCGUGCUAAUGACGGUACCGGCAGAAGAAGCACCGGCUAACUACGU
Molecule: ribosomal RNA, 482 nt
Filed under: uncultured bacterium
Lineage: Bacteria
Description: bacterial SSU rRNA
Rfam family: Bacterial small subunit ribosomal RNA
Source: RNAcentral